This 232-nucleotide ribosomal RNA is filed under the name uncultured bacterium. Its description in RNAcentral is "partial 16S ribosomal RNA". It matches the Rfam family "Bacterial small subunit ribosomal RNA", at positions 104 to 334 of the family's 1533-position model. The record is from RNAcentral.
CGGGGUGAGUAACGCGUGGAUAACCUGCCUCACACUGGGGGAUAACAGUUAGAAAUGACUGCUAAUACCGCAUAAGCGCACAGUACCGCAUGGUACAGUGUGAAAAACUCCGGUGGUGUGAGAUGGAUCCGCGUCUGAUUAGCCAGUUGGCGGGGUAACGGCCCACCAAAGCGACGAUCAGUAGCCGACCUGAGAGGGUGACCGGCCACAUCGGGACUGAGACACGGCCCAA